GAGCCCAGCUGGGGUGGUAAAUAGAGUACAGUACAAAAGCGGAAGGGGCAGGCCUAGAAGCUGAAAGAAAAGCUCGAUAAUGGGGAAACAGUGUUUUUUCCUUCAAUUAAUGAUUAAUUUCUCAGCUGGUGGGGCCAGCAGUCUCUGACCGUCACGUGACAGCUAUGCGCCCCAUGACGCCUCUCCAGGGAGGCAGAGUGGGUGGCACUGAGGUGGAGCUCACCUUCCUGAAAUUCAGCCCCCUCAGUUUGGAGGAAGGAGGUAAACUGUUUCCUGUCCAGCCAGAAGUUUGCGGAGGGCCUUCCCCAGGCCAGGCAAUGCUGCCUGCGACUCUGUCCCUGACAGCGUUGGAUGCACCGUAUCUCUUCUGAUAUUAAGUCUGGAAGUGAUUUACUAUCCGAGUCCUCCCACAGUUCGAGCCUUUUGAUGUACUUUGUGUGCAUGUGUUUCUGUCACAUACGUGCCACAGUGGAACAGAUUUUGUUUUGACACUAUUUUGGUUCAUGAUGUUAUACUUUGACUAUUUUACAAUAAUAGCCAAUGUAAACAAACAUCUUUGGGAUUCUCAAAUUAUUACUUAUGAUUCUUGGACAUUGCAGCUCUUCGAUACUGACGCAUUCCUAGCUUUUUCCAAGGACACCGUAUGUUAACAUCCGUGCCAGCCUCAUUAUCCCCACAGCCAGGCUCUGGGUUGGGCGGUAAUGAGCAUUGUGCGGUUUCACUUUACACUUUGCAAAGUUGAUUAAGGCAGUGCCUUCUCCCAUGAUCAUUUUUGUACCCUGAUGUAGUAAAAUGGCUAAAUAUGGUGAAAGUUUUCUGGUGUUUCUUUCUUUAGCUGCCAUGUCAGAGUCCAGUCUGCCUGGCUGUGUUGAAUUCGAUUCUAUUGGCACGCUACCCAGUUUUACAUUCAUUUAAAGAUCAUUUAAAGGGGAUUACGAAGCUGUAUAAGUUAAUGAUUUAAACGAGGCCUAAGUUACUAGUGUGUCUGUUUCAGCACGCCCAAUAUGAAAUCACCUUAAAAAUUGCUUUCGUGGGGGAAAAUCGUGUCGGAGCAUUUUCCAAGUGGGUUUAAAGGCAAGUCAAAAUCUGUCAAUUGGUGGCUUGGGUGGGUUUGCAUUUGAGGCCUCCAAAGUUCAAACGGCCCCAGCUAGAGGGAGGGCUAGAUCCGCGGGCGGUGGGAAGGUGUGCAGGGCUUCCGCUGGUGGGUGUUGGUGCGGUUCCCCUCGACUCCCCACCGGGACGCCCCCACCCCGUGGCAGCGACAGACCGGCCCGUAAGGUCCCCCAGCCUGGCUCCAGGACUCACUCACUCCGCCUCUAGGGCAGGCCCCGCGGCGGCUCUCGCGUCCGGGCCCCUCGCGGUAAUCAGAAGCAGCUCCGGGCCGGGAGCUCCGCGCUGGCCAGGCCGCCUUUGCCACCCCCGCGUGAUGCGCCGGGGGGCGGGAGGAGCCUGCGGGGGCGGGGGGCGCGUCUCAAGGUCCUCCCUGCACAUCUGGCGCAAUGGGGAGCGUUCGCCUUUCUUUCCCGGGUUUUGUUCUCACAGCUGUGUCCAUUCCGCCCGUGACCCCGCGAGUGAUCCCUGACAGGUGAUGAAUUGGCGGCGGCGGUGGCGGCGGCGGCGGCGCGCGGGCCAGGCCGCGGCGGGGCCGGAGCCGGAGCCCCGGAGCAGACUCUCUGGCGCCAGGCGCGUGACGCCGCCCAUUCACGCCGCCCUGCAGCCUUGUCCUCGCGGCGCCGCUCAGGCGGCUGCCAUGGCAACCGCGCCGUCACUCAGCGCGCGCGCCCAGCUGAUCAAUGCCUGCGAGGCCCGGCAGUCCCAGGCUCGCCCAGGCCCGGCCGCCGGCCCGCGCGCACCUGCAGACGCUGCACGUCUUAAGUUUCGAGUGAUUUGGGGAAGGAAAGAGGACCGAGAAGAAAAGAAAAGGGCUCGGGGGGGGGGGGGGGUGGGCGGGUGAGGGGCGGAGGAGAGGACGAAGGAAAAAAGCCGGGAGAGGGAGAAGAAAGAAAUCUUCCUUUUGCAAAAGGAGGCAUAAUGUGGCUUAGAGGUUGCCAAAGCAAAAGGUUUUGCUUUAUUUUGUUUUUGCAACCGAGGCGUUCAGGGUGGGGCUGGCGCGAGGGAAGGGUGGAUGGGGAGAAGGUCACUGUCUUAGCACAUGGCGAGAUUUAUUUACUCCUUUGGAUUAUUUCGGUUUCUCGCCGAAUGGCUUUGAUCCUGGAUUCCUAAAAAUACCUUUGAAAGAUUGAAAGACUCGCCCCGCCCCCCCAACCUCCACACCGUCUUACUGCCUAACUCCUCGGAACCCUCGGAGGUUGCGCAUAAACAAUUUUUUCUUCCAGAACGGCCCCCCUCUCCGCCCUGGGGGAGCCGGGAGGAUGUGCAGCCCCAGUCCUCCUGCUCGGCGGAGCCUCGCGCGCGCAGAGCCUAGCGCGAUUCGCGCCCUCAUUACUACUACAAAGCGCGGGCCAGACCAAUCCCCUUUCUAAUGCACCAUUUUCGACUGAGAACAUCAAGAGGCCAGAAACUUCCAAGUCAGCUUGCAGACGCAGACGCCUCCUGGGGUCCUGGCUUUAAGAACCAGAUGCCAACACUCCCGGACAGUUUAUGGCAUCCGGAUCCCUCAAGGGUGCUCAUCUGCAGUUGAGAGUCUAAUAAAUGGCAUUAACAAAGCGUUUCAGCGACUACCACGGCUUCACAGUGGCUCCUCCCCUGCCCUGCCACCAUUCAGGCUGUAAUUCCUUCCAGGAUUCCCGCACCAUCCUGUGUGCCCAGAGCUCUCUAGAGCACCAGGAUUCUGUGUGAAGAAUACAGAGACAGACGUUCCAUUUCAAAGAAAAAAGAGCAACACGAAGGCCCUCUUUAAGGAGAGAGUAAACAUUCACUUUAGGUAAAAAAUAGUCUUUUACACGCCUGUGCACGGCACACCUCUUUUGCUGUUCACCUUGAGCCCAAGAGUUUGGAAAGGCUGCCCCCAUUUCAGAGAGGAAGAAACGCAGGCACACGUGAAUGACAGACUCCUCUGUGGUGGCCUAGACUCCAGCCAACACUUCCUAGGACAGCCUGCCAUUGUGCAAAGUCACCAUGUAACAAAUGCAGACAUCUCUGAGAUCACCAUGCAGUGAGGAAGUCUAAGCUGGUGGCAUGAAGAGGCCACAUGGAAAGGGCUAAAAAAGGGGCCAGCCUCAGUCAUCCCAGCUGAGCACCUGGCUGGGAAUAAAAGAGGACUCCGUGGAUGUCCAGCCCAGUAAGAUGACCUCAGCCCCAGCCACCAACUGACCAAGCACACAAGACAUCGUGAGGCUGCCUGCUGGAGCCUGGCCAGUGGGACUGUAGAGUAACUCAUUGUCGUGCAGGAACUCCUGGGAUGGUGUUGCCCAGUGACACAAUCCCAGUGUGGCCAUUUCUGAUCCCGAGAAAGCAGUCAGGAGUGGGUGGAUGCAGUUACAGUUCAUCAAGUCCUGCUAGUUCAAGUCAUGAGUCCUGAAUUCUCCAGGAGGAGCCACUAAAGAAAUGCAGAAGCAGGCAAUCCUUGCAAUAAGGCCAGCAAACUGCCAGUGUGAAGGAUGCCCAGGUAACCUGCCCAUGCCAGAACGGCCAGGAGAUGGUGGAACCAGAAUCUAAGCCCACGCCCAUCUGACCUCAAAGUCUGUGCUCCUGAGGUUCGCACCGAGUUGCCUCCUAAGACUUGCUGAAACUGGAUCACGUCCAUUUACCCAUCUCUGAGAGAAAUGCAAGCUUUAAAAAAGGAAAUAUUUACUAUGGAUAUUUUACAAUAGUUCCAAAACAUGAAAGUUUUAAAUAAGAUAUUCUUAACCAUCCUCACCACAUCUUCAGGUUCCCUUACAGCCACUGUGUUUUGACGAUUGCCCAUUAGAAAAAAAGACUAUGCUUUCUGUAGGUUUUAAAGGAAUGGUGGUGAAAUAAGGAGCAUUCCCUGAGCAGAUCUUGCCUGCGGGCACACCUCUGAGCAUUGGACCAGGCGAGAAGAGCCCAUGUGUUGGCUGCUUUGGGAUCCCAGCACUGCCAAUGGCAGGUGGGCUGUGGCCCAGGGAGAGAACCUAGCCUUUUGCAUUCUCUUGCCCCAUUUGAAAAUGGAGACGAUAGUGGCGCCCCGCUCAGUGUUAUUUUGAGGAUUUGAAUGUAUCUCAGAUGUAGUACCUGGAAAAAUAUAAGUGCUCAGUAAAUACGGUUGCCAGAUAAAAUGCAGGAAACCUAUUUAAAUUUAAGUUUUGGCUGGACAAUGAAUAGAAUAAUUUUUCUUAGUAUGAGUAUGUCCUUAUAUUUCAUCUGCUAAAUUUAGCAACCUCCUCAGUAAACGAUCACUACAAUUGCAGAAACGCCUUAUGACAGAUAUAGUAAAUCUGUAAAGAAAUAGGAACUUGCAUUUAUUUUUACUAAGCUCUGACUGGUUAAGAUAACUGGGCAAGAGAAGAUAUCUUCGACUAAACUUGCAGCACAUAGAGUAUAGAGAUUCAAAUUUGAAGUCCUAUAGGACUAGAAUGGCCAGAGGUGAACUGUAGCGAGCUUAUCUAAAGAGGACCAAUUUCAAAAGUUCCUCAGAGACUUAAAUGGGCCCACAGACCCCUCCUGUGUCUUUGCAUAAGCCAGCUCGUUAUAUCAGUUAUAAGUUGAUUUCCAGAGAAAUGUACCCUGGAGAUCCCUCUCCCACUUGAAAUAGGACUGGCCAAUCCAGAUGUCCCCCAGGUGAUGUUGGCUCAAAUGGAGCUCCAUAUAUUGGAGAAUCUAUUCAAGAAAACAAGCAAAAGUAUUUGUGACUGAGUUAGCUAAUGCCAGCUGGUAUCUUGAACAAACCCAGAUCUCUAACAUGCUAGUUUAUUUCGUAGUGUAAAAUGUGUGUUACUGAUGGGCAGACAGCUCUCAUUCAAGCAGUGACAGAUGUAAGCUCUUCCCAUUUUUGUGGCCCCAUUGUAUUCGGCGUGUGGCUUCCAAGUUGCCUGGGAUCAUCUCCACCCAGACUAAGGAAGAGGAAAGAGCUUGGACAACUGCACUUGGCUGGUUUUUAUGGAUCAGGCAAGGAAUUGGCUCCAACACAUUAGCUCACAUUCCAUUGGUUAGAACUGGGUUUCUCAACUAUUAGUACAGGGUGAGUGUAGGGUUUUGGCACCAUGGGCAUUUGAGCUGGCCAAAGGCUAAUCAGAGUUAGAACAAAGCCACAAAGCCUGUGAAUGGUGUUUAUUGUUGUGAGGAGCUGUCUUGUGCAUUGUGGAAUGUUCAGCAGGAUGCUCUCUGGCCUCAGAGACUCACUAGAUUCCCAUAGAACUCUCCUCUCUCCUCUAGUUGUGACAACCACAGUUGCCUCCUCUCCAGACAUUGCUAGAUGUCCCCGGGAGGCAAAAUUGUCCUGGUUGAGAACCACUGUGUUAGAACUCGGUCACAUGGCCAUACCUAACUGCAAGGGAGGGGGCUGGAAGAUCUAGACGAGUAGUAUGCCAGGAAGAAAAUAGAACUGAUUUAGAGGCUGCUGGCCAGUCACUUUCAGUGACCUUCAGCAUACUUAUUCCUCUGCAGCUGUCAGGACACUCAUGCCUGUUUCUGAGAUGUUUCCUGUGUGAGGGGACAUAGUGACUAUUGGAGGGGUGACAUGUUGGACUUGGGUAGGGUGAAGAGGAUUGGAAACCACCAUCAUGUUUGGCAGCAUUGAAUGUUUAUGACUAUUUGAAUAGUUGUGACAAGGGUACAGUGAAGGAGGAAGUAACCAUUUUUGAAUACCCUUUUACAAUUUGCAAAGCACUUUUAAAGGUAAGAGUGAGUUCCUAGACCAUAUUAGGGUGAGAAUGGACAUUGUUGGCUGCCAUAUCAUUGGGCAGGGGCUUUGAGAUUUUUGUCUUCAGAAGGCAGAUUAGAUUUGGAGUAGAAGGAGAAAUGUAAAGACCUGGUAUCUGAGUGUGUUUGCAGAGGGGAAUUGUCGUUUGGAAGCACAAGAAAGGGAAUGGCCCGUUGGCACAUAUGGUACAUUGUGUUUUCAUAUAAUUAUACCUGAAUGAAAGCAAGAGGAAACGUGUAGGAAGCUGUUUACAUAGUCCUUUUAAUAAUGUUUACAUGAGUUAAUGAACAUGCAAACGUAUCUGAUGAAAACAUGUCAGUAGUGAAACAGCCUUGUGAAGAAUCAGAUCUUACCUCAGGCUGGAAAAAAGGACUGGUUUUCCAAGCUCACAAAUUGCAGCCAGUGUGAAUAGUAGCACAAAUGACUGAGCUUUAAGACAUCCAUCCAUCCAUCUAUCCAUCCCCUCAUCCAUCCAUCCCCUCAUCCAUCCACCCAUCCAUCCAUCCCUUCAUCCAUCACUCCAUCCAGCCAUCCGUCCCUUCAUCAAUCCAUCCAUCCCUUCAUCCAUCCAUCCAUCCUUCCUUCCAUUCAUCCCUUCAUCCAUCCGUCCAUCCAUCCAUCCAUCCACUCAUUCAUCCCUUCAUCCAUCCAUCCAUCCAUCCUUCCUUCCUUCCAUUCAUCCCUUCAUCCAUCCGUCCAUCCAUCCAUCCACCCAUUCAUCCAUCCAUUCCUUCAUCAACUCAUCCCUUCAUCCAUCGUCUACCAUUCAUUCACCCCUUCAUCCAUCCAUUCAUUUAUCCAUCCGUCCAUUUACUUCCAUCCAUCCCUUUAUCCAUCCAUUCACCCAUUCAUCCCUUUAUCCAUAUGUCCAUUCCUCCAUCCAUCCAUCCAUCCAUUUACUCUUCAUCCCUUCAUCCAUUUUUCCAUCCAUUCAUCCAUUCAUCUUUUCAUCCAUCCAUCCAUUGAUCUAUCCAUCCAUCCAUUGCUCCAUCCAACCAUCCAUCCAUCCCUUCGUCCCUUCAUCCAUCCAUCCAUUCAUCCCAUCAUCCAUUGAUCACUUCAUCCAUCCAUCCUUCCAUCCUUCCAUCCAUUCUUCCAUUCAUCCAUCCAUGUGUUCAGCAAGUAUUUACUGAAUGCCUAUUAUGUGCCAAGCACUCUCCUCAGAACUUAGGAAAUACCAGGAAACAAAAUCAACAACAAUCCCUCACCACCUGGAUAUUACAUUUUGGUGGGAAGAGACAAAGAAAUAAAAUUGGUGAGUGAAUCACAUAGGUUAUUAGAAGGUGAUAAAGGUGUAGGUGAUAAAGGAGAAGUGCCAGGAGCAAGGAUUGGGUACAGUUGUGAAUAAGGUGGCCCCAAUAGGUUGCACUGAGAAGGUGACAUUUGCACAGAGACUUGAAGAAAGGAAGGAGAGAACAUGACUGUACCUGGGUAACAGCAUUUGUGGAAGAGGGAACAGCCAGUGUAAAAGUUCCAAGGCAUGAGUGCCUGGUACAUACAUGGAACAUCGAGGCCAGGGUGGCAGAAACGCGGUGAGUCCAGGAAGGGAAUAGGAACUAAGUGUAGGAAGGUGUACAGUGGGGUGGUGUGGGGGUGGAAUUGUGGCAGCCAGAUGGUGUUGGCCUAAGGCCUCUUGGCCCUUGUUAGGACUUGGUUUACCAUGGCGCAACACAUCCAUGAGAUUGGCAAAAAUUAAAAAGUCUGACAACAGAAAAUCUGGUAAUCUGGUGAGGAUGUGGAGCAGUGGGAAUUCUCCAAUACUGCCAGGGAGCAUGGGCAUCAAUCCCACCACACUGGAAUGCAAAGGGGCAUUCUGAGUAGAACUGAAGAUGUGCCCAUCCUUGACCCCACAGUUCCAGCCAUGGGCAUGCGCAUGAAUGUGCACACGUGUUGACUGCGGCAUUUGUUUGUCAUUAUGAAAACAUCUAAGUUUCCAUCUAUGGGAGAGGGGAUAAUGUGGGAGUGCCCAACAGUGGAGUUCUAGAGAGCAGUAAAAAUAAAUGGACUAGAGCUGCACACGUCAAAAUGGAUGAAGAUAAAAGACAUAAGGAUGGAAGAAGACCACCUGGCCACAGAAGUAUAUGUCCAAUAUGAUGCUGGUGUAUCCAGAGUGUUCAAACAAACAACACAACACUACUCAUUGUUUCCAACGUGAGUAUGAAAGUAUGGAGCAGUGCGGAGGGCCAGGAGUGCUGAAUCCACAUGGUUACUUCUCCAGGCGGGGGCCGAGGACCAGGGCUGGAGGUUUACUCCAGGAGCUUCAGUGGUGCAUGCUGAAUGUGCUGUUUCUUGGGCUGGGGGACAGAGAUGUGCAUGCUGUUAUACACUCUAUAUUGAAAUGAUUGUAUAACAAUAUACUAAUUUAUCAUGUAAUAAAUUUGACCAGAAAGAAACAA
Molecule: long non-coding RNA, 8178 nt
Filed under: Homo sapiens (human)
Lineage: Eukaryota; Metazoa; Chordata; Mammalia; Primates; Hominidae
Description: non-protein coding ID2-AS1:17
Source: RNAcentral